This 497-nucleotide ribosomal RNA is filed under the name uncultured bacterium. Its description in RNAcentral is "partial 16S ribosomal RNA". It matches the Rfam family "Bacterial small subunit ribosomal RNA", at positions 28 to 507 of the family's 1533-position model. The record is from RNAcentral.
GAUGAACGCUGGCGGCGUGCCUAAUACAUGCAAAUCGAGCGAACAGACGAGGAGCUUGCUCCUCUGACGUUAGCGGCGGACGGGUGAGUAACACGUGGAUAACCUACCUAUAAGACUGGGAUAACUUCGGGAAACCGGAGCUAAUACCGGAUAAUAUAUUGAACCGCAUGGUUCAAUAGUGAAAGACGGUUUUGCUGUCACUUAUAGAUGGAUCCGCGCCGCAUUAGCUAGUUGGUAAGGUAACGGCUUACCAAGGCAACGAUGCGUAGCCGACCUGAGAGGGUGAUCGGCCACACUGGAACUGAGACACGGUCCAGACUCCUACGGGAGGCAGCAGUAGGGAAUCUUCCGCAAUGGGCGAAAGCCUGACGGAGCAACGCCGCGUGAGUGAUGAAGGUCUUCGGAUCGUAAAACUCUGUUAUUAGGGAAGAACAAAUGUGUAAGUAACUAUGCACGUCUUGACGGUACCCAAUCAGAAAGCCACGGCUAACUACGUG